CCUUGUUGGCUAGUCUUUUGCAGG
This 24-nucleotide non-coding RNA is filed under the name Cricetulus griseus (Chinese hamster). Lineage: Eukaryota; Metazoa; Chordata; Mammalia; Rodentia; Cricetidae. The record is from RNAcentral.